GGAAUAUUGCGCAAUGGACGAAAGUCUGACGCAGCAACGCCGCGCGGGCGAUGAAGGCUUUCGGGUCGUAAAGCCCUGUCGGAAGGGAAGAAAAACGAGAUGGCUAAUAUCCAUUUCGAUUGACGGUACCUUAGAAGGAAGCACCGGCUAACUACGUGCCAGCAGCCGCGGUAAUACGUAGGGUGCUAACGUUGUUCGGAAUCAUUGGGCGUAAAGCGCGUGUAGGUGGUUACACAAGUUGGAUGUGAAAUCCCUGGGCUUAACCGAGGAAGUGCAUCCAAAACUAGGUAGCUAGAGGACGGUAGAGGAAGGUGGAAUUCCAAGUGUAGAGGUGAAAUUCGUAGAUAUUUGGAGGAAUACCUGUGGCGAAGGCGGCCUUCUGGGCCGUUCCUGACACUGAGACGCGAAAGCGUGGGGAGCAAA
RNAcentral lists this ribosomal RNA (423 nucleotides) under uncultured bacterium. RNAcentral describes it as "bacterial SSU rRNA". It matches the Rfam family "Bacterial small subunit ribosomal RNA", at positions 358 to 772 of the family's 1533-position model. The record is from RNAcentral.